CCUACGGGCGGCAGCAGUGAGGAAUAUUGGUCAAUGGGCGCGAGCCUGAACCAGCCAAGUCGCGUGAGGGAAGACGGUCCUAUGGAUUGUAAACCUCUUUUGUAGGGGAGCAAAAGACGCCAGGCGUGGCGUUCCGAGAGUACCCGAAGAAAAAGCAUCGGCUAACGCCGUGCCAGCAGCCGCGGUAAUACGGAGGAUGCGAGCGGUAUCCGGAUUUAUUGGGAUUAAAGGGAGGGCAGGCGGACGAUCAAGUGUGCGGUAAAAUGGUGAGGCUCACCCUCUUCGAGCGGUUGAUACUGGUUUUCGUGAGUGAGUGAGAAGUAUGCGGAAUGCGUGGUGUAGCGGUGAAAUGCAUAGAUAUCACGAAGAACUCCGAUUGCGAAGGCAGCAUCCCGGCGCUCAACUGACGCUCAUGCACGAAAGUGUGGGUAUCGAACAGGAUUAGAUACCCCAGUAGUC
Molecule: ribosomal RNA, 459 nt
Filed under: uncultured bacterium
Lineage: Bacteria
Description: partial 16S ribosomal RNA
Rfam family: Bacterial small subunit ribosomal RNA
Source: RNAcentral